RNAcentral lists this ribosomal RNA (310 nucleotides) under uncultured bacterium. RNAcentral describes it as "bacterial SSU rRNA". It matches the Rfam family "Bacterial small subunit ribosomal RNA", at positions 29 to 334 of the family's 1533-position model. The record is from RNAcentral.
AACGAACGUUAGCGGUGUGGAUUAGGCAUGCAAGUCGUGCGCGAAAGCCUUCGGGCGAGUAAAGCGGCGAAAGGGUGAGUAACACGUAACCAAUCUACCCUGAAGACCGGAAUAACCAUCGGAAACGAUGGAUAAUGCCGGAUGGUCCGUUACCAAGGCAUCUUGGAAACGGUAAACGGCGGCCCUGCCGCUGCUUCGGGAGGAGGUUGCGGACUAUUAGCUUGUUGGUGGGGUAAUGGCCUACCAAGGCGAUGAUGGUUAGCGGGUCUGAGAGGAUGGUCCGUCACACUGGGACUGAGACACGGUCCAG